ACUGCUCAGUAACACGUAGUCAACAUGCCCAGGGGACGUGGAUAACCUCGGGAAACUGAGGAUAAACCGCGAUAGGCCAAGAUUUCUGGAAUGAAUCAUGGUUUAAAUCUAUAUGGCCCCUGGAUUGGACUGCGGCCGAUCAGGCUGUUGGUGAGGUAAUGGCCCACCAAACCUGUAACCGGUACGGGCUCUGAGAGGAGGAGCCCGGAGAUGGGCACUUAGACAAGGGCCCAGGCCCUAUGGGGCGCAGCAGGCGCGAAACCUCUGCAAUAAGCGAAGGCUUGACAGGGUUACUCUGAGUGAUUUCCGCUAAGGAAGUCUUUUGGCACCUCUAAAAAUGGUGCAGAAUAAGGGGUGGGCAAGUCUGGUGUCAGCCGCCGCGGUAAUACCAGCACCCCGAGUGGUCGGGACGAUUAUUGGGCCUAAAGCAUCCGUAGCCGGUCCUGCAAGUCCUCCGUUAAAUCCACCCGCUCAACGGUUGGGCCGCGGGGGAUACUACAGGGCUAGGAGGCGGGAGAGGCAAGCGGUACUCGAUGGGUAGGGGUAAAAUCCACUGAUCCAUUGAAGACCACCAGUGGCGAAGGCGGCUUGCCAGAACGCGCUCGACGGUGAGGGAUGAAAGCUGGGGGAGCAAACCGGAUUAGAUACCCGGGUAGUCCCAGCUGUAAACGAUGCAGACUCGGUGAUGGGCUGGCUUCGUGCCAACCCGGUGCCGCAGGGAAGCCGUUAAGUCUGCCGCCUGGGGAGUACGGUCGCAAGACUGAAACUUAAAGGAAUUGGCGGGGGAGCA
Molecule: ribosomal RNA, 790 nt
Filed under: uncultured archaeon
Lineage: Archaea
Description: bacterial SSU rRNA
Rfam family: Archaeal small subunit ribosomal RNA
Source: RNAcentral